This 489-nucleotide ribosomal RNA is filed under the name uncultured bacterium. RNAcentral's name for it is "bacterial SSU rRNA". It matches the Rfam family "Bacterial small subunit ribosomal RNA", at positions 28 to 507 of the family's 1533-position model. The record is from RNAcentral.
GAUGAACGCUAGCGAUAGGCCUAACACAUGCAAGUCGAGGGGCAUCACAUGAAGUAGCAAUACGGAUGGUGGCGACCGGCGCACGGGUGAGUAACACGUAUGCAACCUGCCUUCAACAAGGGGAUAACCCGUUGAAAGACGGACUAAUACCCUAUAACACAGGGGUCCCGCAUGGGGAUAUUUGUUAAAGGACAACCGGUUGAAGAUGGGCAUGCGUUCCAUUAGCUAGUUGGCGGGGUAAGGGCCCACCAAGGCAACGAUGGAUAGGGGAACUGAGAGGUUUAUCCCCCACACUGGUACUGAGACACGGACCAGACUCCUACGGGAGGCAGCAGUGAGGAAUAUUGGUCAAUGGACGCAAGUCUGAACCAGCCACGUCGCGUGAAGGAAGACGGCCCUACGGGUUGUAAACUUCUUUUAACGGGAAUAAAGUGCCCCACGCGUGGGGUUUUGCAUGUACCGUAUGAAUAAGGAUCGGCUAACUCCGUG